This 500-nucleotide ribosomal RNA is filed under the name uncultured bacterium. RNAcentral describes it as "partial 16S ribosomal RNA". It matches the Rfam family "Bacterial small subunit ribosomal RNA", at positions 30 to 523 of the family's 1533-position model. The record is from RNAcentral.
AUUGAACGCUGGCGGCAUGCCUUACACAUGCAAGUCGAACGGCAGCACGGGAGCAAUCCUGGUGGCGAGCGGCGAACGGGUGAGUAAUGCAUCGGAACGUACCUUUCAGUGGGGGAUAACGUAGCGAAAGUUACGCUAAUACCGCAUAUUCUGUGAGCAGGAAAGCAGGGGAUCGCAAGACCUUGCGCUGAUUGAGCGGCCGAUGUCAGAUUAGCUAGUUGGUGAGGUAAAGGCUCACCAAGGCGACGAUCUGUAGCGGGUCUGAGAGGAUGAUCCGCCACACUGGGACUGAGACACGGCCCAGACUCCUACGGGAGGCAGCAGUGGGGAAUUUUGGACAAUGGGGGCAACCCUGAUCCAGCCAUGCCGCGUGAGUGAAGAAGGCCUUCGGGUUGUAAAGCUCUUUCGGCCGGGAAGAAAUCGCACAGGCUAAUACCUUGUGUGGAUGACGGUACCGGAAUAAGAAGCACCGGCUAACUACGUGCCAGCCGCCGCGGUAA